AGAGUUUGAUCAUGGCUCAGGAUGAACGCUAGCUACAGGCUUAACACAUGCAAGUCGAGGGGAAACGACAUCGAAAGCUUGCUUUUAAUGGGCGUCGACCGGCGCACGGGUGAGUAACGCGUAUCCAACCUGCCCACCACUUGGGGAUAACCUUGCGAAAGUAAGACUAAUACCCAAUGACGUCUCUAGAAGACAUCUGAAGGAGAUUAAAGAUUUAUCGGUGAUGGAUGGGGAUGCGUCUGAUUAGCUUGUUGGCGGGGUAACGGCCACAAGGCGACGAUCAGUAGGGGUUCUGAGAGGAAGGUCCCCCANAUUGGAACUGGAGACACGGUCCAAACUCCGUACGGGAGGCA
Molecule: ribosomal RNA, 353 nt
Filed under: uncultured bacterium
Lineage: Bacteria
Description: bacterial SSU rRNA
Rfam family: Bacterial small subunit ribosomal RNA
Source: RNAcentral